UAAGUUAACUUUUGAUGUUAGAAGACAACAAGACCGCUAAAACUUACUUCCCGAGAAACCAUGACAUGACGUGACGUGACGGCCUGUUGAAUAGUACCAUUUGAUAUACAUUGUGGAAUGUUGUGACGUGACAGCUAGUGUGAAUUUGCCUUCAAGUGGAAAUGAAAUGCUGACACGUUGUCUUUUUUGUUUUUGUGGCCUCUUUUCUACAACCGCAGUUUCACAAGUAAUAUGGGAUAUAUUUCCUCUUCUGCGAUUCUAAUAAAAGUAUUUAUUCAGACCACAAACGUUUCGCUUCAUUUAAAGCAUUUAACGGCUGAUUCACACUAAAACAUCAAUGGACCAUUACAUCAUUACUACUGCAAGGUGUAUUCACACUGGCUGUCACGUCACGUCAAUUCGCUUAGCCUAGCGCCAAAUGGUACAAGUGAGUUUGUGAGAUACCAAUAGUGACACGAAAGUAGGAUUACAGUACCGGAACCAUGGAGGUAUAAAAUAAACUGAGAGGCCCUGGUGUCACAAGUAUUAUAGUUUUCCAAAAGGUGAAGGCCAGAAGGCUCUUUAGGAGUAUGCCGCGAGGAGAAAGAAAUCGUGAGCGUCUAAACUGUGCACUAAAAGUACCCAGCAUUUUCGAGAAGAAAAUGAACUGAACGUCGCUUUCAACAAUUUUUCUUAGAGAAGAUUCUGUGACAUAAGAUUUUCUUCCCCACCAAAAACAUUUACAAAAGAUGUCUGUCCUCAAUUAUGAAAGAAAGCUCAAUGGAGAAAACAUCAGAGCCGCCAAGGAACAAUUGCAGUUUGUCUUGAAAACAAGGCAAAAUAAUAAAAUAAAAAUUAAGAAGAUAAAAGAGCAUGAUGUAUAGUAGCCAACUAUAACAGCAGACGAUGGCACAGUUCUCCCCUCCCACCAAUGUCACCGGUAAAACGUUUUUUUCCCGAGAAGCCUUGAUGGUGACAUGAUGUUACAUGAAAUGACGUAACAGAUGUUGAUGGCCUGAGUGAAUGCUACCAUUUGAAACACCCUGUGAAAUGUUAUUACAUGAUGUGAACGUAAGUGUUAAUUUGUUGGGAAUACAUGGACAGUAAUUUCGUGUGUGAGUGUGUAUACGGCAAAGUGUAGUACACUGAGUGUAACAGACCUCUACGAGUGCCCUGUAUACUCUGUACAUUGCCUCAGUUACCGAUUGUAAAUAUGCUGUUCUAUGUAAUGGAUGUUAAAAUAUAGCUUGCCUUACUCCUGGA
Schistocerca piceifrons (Central American locust) is the source of this 1242-nucleotide long non-coding RNA. RefSeq lists it as uncharacterized. Lineage: Eukaryota; Metazoa; Arthropoda; Insecta; Orthoptera; Acrididae. The transcript has 2 exons. The record is from RefSeq and is a predicted model, not a curated record.